UCAAUUGUCUGCCUUAUCAACUUUCGAUGGUAGAUUACAUGUCUACCAUGGUGAUAACGGGUAACGGGGAAUCAGGGUUCGAUUCCGGAGAGGGAGCCUGAGAAACGGCUACCACAUCUAAGGAAGGCAGCAGGCACGUAAAUUACCCACUCCCAGUACGGGGAGGUAGUGACGAUAAAUAACGAUCCGGAACUCUAAUGAGUUUCCGUAAUCGGAAUGAGUACAAUUUAAAUCCUUUAACGAUGAACUAAUAGAGGGCAAGUCUGGUGCCAGCAGCCGCGGUAAUUCCAGCUCUAUUAGCAUAUAUUAAAGUUGUUGCGUUUAAAAAGCUCGUAG
This 336-nucleotide ribosomal RNA is filed under the name Lychnocolax sp. 1 DPM-2011. RNAcentral describes it as "SSU rRNA". It matches the Rfam family "Eukaryotic small subunit ribosomal RNA", at positions 299 to 633 of the family's 1831-position model. The record is from RNAcentral. Lineage: Eukaryota; Metazoa; Arthropoda; Insecta; Strepsiptera; Myrmecolacidae.